Non-coding RNA from Ictidomys tridecemlineatus (thirteen-lined ground squirrel), 73 nucleotides. NCBI's taxonomy places the organism in Eukaryota, Metazoa, Chordata, Mammalia, Rodentia, Sciuridae. The record is from Rfam.
UGGGGUAUAGCUCAGUUGGUAGAGUGCUUGCCUUGCGCGCACAAGGCCCGGGGUUCAAUCCCCAGCACCACAG